This 442-nucleotide long non-coding RNA is filed under the name Brassica napus (rape). RNAcentral describes it as "long non-coding RNA (BNAP_LNC017715)". Lineage: Eukaryota; Viridiplantae; Streptophyta; Magnoliopsida; Brassicales; Brassicaceae. The record is from RNAcentral.
GGAAAAUAUAGAAAAGUGAAAGAAAGGAAGAUAUAAUGAAUUAGAAAAGGAUUACCAGAAAAAUAGAGAAAAUAGUAAUAAGAUAAUGUUGACACAAACUUUGAUGUAGCUAGUAAGGAAGACGAUCACGUGGACUGACAUGCAAAUUUAAUCUAUAUAGUAGUAUAUAAUAAGUAUAUUAGCUACAAAUAUGCAUGGAUUUUUGUACACCACAACUAACUCUUUCGGAUUUUAGUAUAGUAUGGUUGUACCAGUAUAUAUUAGUCUAUUAGAAACAACAACAACAAUGUCAAUUCUAAAAACAAAUGUUAAAAUCAAAAGUGAACAAACCUUUCCAAAUGGUGUUUCAAAAAAAAAAAAAAAGAACAAACCUUUCCAAACCAAACAAGUACAUAAAAUAUGCGAGACUGGCUCUUGUCAUGGGAUCCUAAAACAUAGGAUU